Long non-coding RNA from Triticum aestivum (bread wheat), 2382 nucleotides. RefSeq lists it as uncharacterized. The transcript has 3 exons. The record is from RefSeq and is a predicted model, not a curated record. Lineage: Eukaryota; Viridiplantae; Streptophyta; Magnoliopsida; Poales; Poaceae.
UGCUCAGCUCCCUCCUCCUCGCGCUAUUCUCUCAUCCUCUAUAUCCUGACCACACACGGUAAUCCCCAAAUCACGCCGGCGACAGCUCCGAUUCCAAAGCACAGCGCCGCCCCUUCCUCCGGUGCUCCCAUGGCACGGCUUCUUCCUCAAGCUGCCCGGCGCUGCUUCGCCGGUGGCGCAGCCGCGGGAGUCCUUCGGGCGGGGGUCCAGGCGUUUCUCGAGGAUGCAGCCGGUGUCGGGGAGGAGUCGCGCGGGGUCACGCCGGGGGUAAAGGACCUGGCCCAGUUGGUUCUCGACGAGCCGUGUGCAUAGGGGAGCAGGAUCCGUCUUCUAGCAGAGGAAAAACGAGAAGGAUGUGGAGAGCGAGGUCGCUGCCGGAGCUCUGCCGGAGCGAGGUUGAUUUGGUGUUGCGUUUUGAGUGGGAAGCUAUGUACAGGGAUCUAGAUGAAUAGUCAAGUGGCUAGACAUAAAAGAUUUCAUUUGCCUACUAUGAUGUCCUGUUGAUGACAGAGCUGGUAGCUGCUCACGUGAAGAAUCUCUGCCGCUCACUCUGCCGCUCACAUGGAGGCACUUUUUUUUCUCCGGAAGCAAAUGUCAAUGUACAGGGCCUAGAAGAACCUCGUAUGUGGCGGGAGUGAAACUUCAGCGGUAACUGCUCCGGCUGCGCACGCCAACGACAGCUCCUUCGCCAUGGCUCCCUGUUGGAGCUCGAAUAGAAGCGACAACCCAUAGCGGGAGGCGACCGGGCAGCGGAGGAAGGCCUCAUGCCGUCCUGCGUAGAGGCAGGCAGAGCAGCUCGAGGGCUCGCCAGAGUCCUGGUCGGGGCGGAGCUCGGACAUGGCGAGAGGCAGAGAUGGUCGGAGCCGGACAGCAUGGUGGUGUCGCGCCGUUCCCCGGCGCGCUUCCGCCUGCCGCGCCAAUGGGCUUGGGACGGCGGCGCAUGCGGGCGGCGUCCACGGUGUUAAGAUUCGUGUUUAGUCGCUGGGUGCGAUUCUGCGUUUCUCGGACGGGAAUAUCCUAUUUGCCGCUCGUUGCGUUAAACUGCCGGCGCUUCGCACAGGCGACCGACCGAGCAGCGACGCAACGGGUUCCAGAACUCCCGGUUUUGGGAACCUUCUAGAGGUUCCCAGCUGGUUUUUUCCGGUUUUGGGAACCUUCUAGAAGGUUUCUGAACCGGUUUUUUAUUUUCCUUUCUUUUUCUAUUUCUGUUUUUUUUCUUUUUUUUCAAGUUUAUGUUUUCUCUCUCAAAAAAAUGUUCACGCUUUUACAAAAAUAUCAAAAAUGUUCGUGUUUUCAAAUUUUGUUCAUAAAUUCAAAAAUUGUAUGCAUUUAUCGAAAAUGUUCCAACAAAUAAAAAAUGUUCAAAGUUUAUGUUCGACUUUAUUUUUUCUUACUUCAACUUUUUCACAUAAAUGUUCCAACAAAUUAAAAAUGUUCAAAUUUUAAAAUUUGUUUGUGAUUUCAAAUUUUGGUCAGAAAUUCAGAAAAUGUUCCAUUUCUAAAAUAUUGUUCUAGUUUAAAAAACUGUUCCUAUUUUAAAAAAUUUGUUUGUAAAUUUCAAAAAUGUGGAUGUUUUCAUUUUUUCAGGAGUUUUUAAAUUGUUCAGUUUCAAAUUUUUUUUUACAAUUUCAAAAAAUGUUCAGUGGUUCAAAAUAUGUUCCCGUUUUAAAAAAAUUGUUCGCACAUUUCAAAAAAAUAUGCACAUUUUCGUUUUUGAGGUUCAAAAUUUUUCAGUUUCAAAUUUUGUUCACAAAUUUUAAAAAAUGUUCGGCGUACAAAACAUGUUCCCGCUUUAAAAAAUUGUUCGCAAAUUAAAAAAUGUUUGGGAAUUUCAUAAAUAUGUUCCUGUUUCCAAAUUUUGUUCAAAAUUUCAAAAAUGUUCUGGAAAUGUAAAAACUUAUUCCCAUUUUGCAAAUUUGUUCGCAAAUUCAAAACAUAUUUUCGUUUUGAAAUUUUUUUCACAUAUUCAAAAAAUGUUCAUUUUUGAAAAUUUGUUCACAAAUUCAAAAUGUGUUCGCAUGUUUAAUUUUUGUUCGCAAAUUAUAAAAUAUUUGGUAUUUCAAAAAUGUUCUUGUUGUCCAAAUUUGUUCACAUAUUCUAAAAAAGCUACAGUUUUGAAAUUUUUUUCACAAAUUUUAAAAAUGUUCUUGUUUUCGGAAUUAUGUCACAAAUUCAAAAAAUGCUCGAGUUUUUUGAAAAUAGUUUAGUUUUGAAAACAUUAUCACCUUUUCAGUUUUGUUACUUGUUUUGGAAAAGAUGUUUUGCGUUUACGAAAAGUAGUUCAUAAUUUAGAAAUUAUUCUCGUAUUCAAUUUUUUUCCCUACUUGUUUUUAGUUUCUAUUCAGUUCCCAAAUAAUGUCGCAUUUCAAAAAUAAUAAUCCU